Molecule: ribosomal RNA, 466 nt
Filed under: uncultured bacterium
Lineage: Bacteria
Description: partial 16S ribosomal RNA
Rfam family: Bacterial small subunit ribosomal RNA
Source: RNAcentral
GGCGAACGCUGGCGGCGUGCUUAACACAUGCAAGUCGAACGGAAAGGCCCUGCUUGCCGGGUACUCGAGUGGCGAACGGGUGAGUAACACGUGGGUGAUCUGCCCUGCACUUCGGGAUAAGCUUGGGAAACUGGGUCUAAUACCGGAUAGGACCGCACUUUAGUGUGUGUGGUGGAAAGUUUUUUCGGUGUAGGAUGAGCUCGCGGCCUAUCAGCUUGUUGGUGGGGUAAUGGCCUACCAAGGCGGCGACGGGUAGCCGGCCUGAGAGGGUGUACGGCCACAUUGGGACUGAGAUACGGCCCAGACUCCUACGGGAGGCAGCAGUGGGGAAUAUUGCACAAUGGGCGCAAGCCUGAUGCAGCGACGCCGCGUGGGGGAUGAAGGCCUUCGGGUUGUAAACUCCUUUCGCUAGGGACGAAGCGUUGUUGUGACGGUACCUAGAUAAGAAGCACCGGCUAACUACGUG